Molecule: ribosomal RNA, 253 nt
Filed under: uncultured bacterium
Lineage: Bacteria
Description: partial 16S ribosomal RNA
Rfam family: Bacterial small subunit ribosomal RNA
Source: RNAcentral
GACAGAGGUGCCGAGCGUUAGGCGGAAUCACUGGGCUUAAAGCGUGUGUAGGCGGGCCGCAUAGUGCCUUGUGAAAUCCCCCGGCUCAACCGGGGAACGGCUGGGCAGACUGGCGGCCUUGGACCAACUAGGGGUCAUCGGAACAAGCGGUGGAGCGGUGAAAUGCGUAGAUAUCGCUUGGAACGCCCGCGGCGAAAGCGGAUGACUGGGGUUGUGCCGACGCUGAGACACGAAAGCCAGGGGAGCGAACGGG